RNAcentral lists this ribosomal RNA (681 nucleotides) under uncultured crenarchaeote. Its description in RNAcentral is "bacterial SSU rRNA". It matches the Rfam family "Archaeal small subunit ribosomal RNA", at positions 1 to 679 of the family's 1478-position model. The record is from RNAcentral. Lineage: Archaea; Thermoproteati; Thermoproteota.
UUUUGAACCGCCUGUUAAUNGGGUGNGGAUUAAACCUGCCGAGUUGCAUGAGACGCCUAACUGUCUCAUAGCAAACUGCUCAGUAACACAUGAUCAACCUACCCUAUGAUGGGUAAUAACCUCGGGAAACUGAGGAUAAUGAUCCAUAGCUGAUUCGGCUUGGAAAAGUGUUUCAGUGAAAGGGACAUAGAAAAUGGUCUAUGUCUGUCAUAGGAUGGGAUUGUGGUAGAUUAGGUAGUUGGUGAGAUAAAGGCUCACCAAGCCGAUAAUCGAUAGGGGCCGUGAGAGCGGGAGCCUCGAGAUGGGUACUUAGACAGCGACCCAGGCCCUACGGGGCGCAGCAGGUACGAAACCUCCGCAAUACACGCAAGUGUGACGGGGCUACCCAAAGUGCUCCAUAUAGGAGCUGUGGUAGGUGCGUAAUGUUCCCUACUAGAAAGGAGAGGGCAAGGCUGGUGCCAGCCGNCGCGGCAAAACCAGCUCUUCAAGUGGUCGGGAUAAUUAUUGGGCUUAAAGUGUCCGUAACUGGUAAGGUAAAGUUCCUGGUAAAAUUGGGCAGCUUAACUGUCCUUAUGCUAGGAAUACUGCUUUACUAGAAGGCCGGGAGAAGUCUGAGGUACUACANGGGUANGAAUGAAAUCUUAUAAUCCUUGUAGGACCACCAGUGGCCAAAGCGUUAAA